RNAcentral lists this long non-coding RNA (1259 nucleotides) under Struthio camelus australis. RNAcentral's name for it is "lncRNA (ENSSCUG00000015362.1)". The record is from RNAcentral. Lineage: Eukaryota; Metazoa; Chordata; Aves; Struthioniformes; Struthionidae.
CCCUUCCCCUCUCGGUGUCCCCUCUGCCUUCGCUAGUCCUUCGGGGCCGGGACCCCUUCCCCUCUCGGUGUCCCCUCUGCCUUCGCUAGUCCUUCGGCUGGGCCCCCUUCGCUAUUUCCCUGUCCUUCUCCUCUCUUGGCCGCUUUAACUAGUCCCAUCCGCUGCUGCUGUCCCCCACCUUCACUAGCUCCACAGAAUCAGUCCCCUUCCUAGCGUGGUGCACCUUAACUGUCUUCCUCCCCCGGUCCCCUCUGCCUUCGCUAGUCCUUCGGCUGGGCCCCCUUCGCUAUUUCCCUGUCCUUCUCCUCUCUUGGCCGCUUUAACUAGUCCCAUCCGCUGCUGCUGUCCCCCACCUUCACUAGCUCCACAGAAUCAGUCCCCUUCCUAGCGUGGUGCACCUUAACUGUCUUCCUCCCCCGUCACCUUCCCUACCUACUAACUACCUUCUAACUAGCUACUAACUACCACCGUGUCUCUCUGCGCCCCUGGCAGUCGCUGGCCCAAGAUCCAGCGGGCGCUGCAAUACGAGCACGGCCCCUCACCUUGCCGUAAUCAGGCCCGUUUAAUUAUAAUUACAGUGCAGCUACUACCUGGCCAGGACAAGUCCUAGGAGUCCUGGCCUGUUACACUCUUUUUUUUCUUUUUCUUGCUCUGUUAUUCGUGACUUUUCCGAGUACUGCUUUCUACUCUGGGCUGAUGGAGGACUGCAAAGCCCAGGGUUCAGCUGCGAUUUAACUGGAGAACAUGGUGCUUGUGAUAAAUUUGCAGAGGGCAGCAGAUGGUGCUGUUUGUCCUCCUGUUAGGAGGACGGCGGCCAGUCGUCCCUGCUGCCAGUGGUGGCCCUCUCACUGGGGCAGUGACAUAUUCCAAGGGGAGAAUAACUUGCUGUUUAAAGGAAGGGAAAAUUACCAGAAGCUUUUAGCGGUGGUUGCUGAGCAGUUCUGUGACCGUCUUGGAGAUGGCAGCAACACUUCUCCCUGCCUUGACUAGGUAAAGCAUGUCUAGAGAUGCACAGGCAUUAAAUUCUUUACCUCCCUGCACCUCGUGUUCCUUAUCUGUUAAUCAGUUAUAUUUUUCUGUGCAGCAAGGAGGUGUGGGAAGAGGUUUGCAAACCUUAACGCCUGCGGAGUGCUUAGAGAUCCAGGAGGAAAUAGAACCAGGUUUACUCGUGAUAGAAAGGUGAGAUUACCAUGAAUUAGCAACAUGAAGCAUUGCUAAAUGAUAAUAAAAGGCCGAAUGACAGUCUGGGCUGGGUUAAA